AGAAAAGAAAUGGGGUGAGCAGUGGAGUAAAAGGGCCCUUGUUGUGCCCAUAUAAAACAUUUCCCUAUCAACAACUUUUAUUUUAUGUAAUAGUUUUCAAGUUUUAAAAGGUUGGCUUGGUUUAUUAUUUAUGAUGAGUGAUCAUCACAAGAACAAGGCAGUGUGAAAGUCAAAUUGUUUUCAAUCCCCUUGAUACAUAGAAUGAAUGGAGACAGUUAAACAUCUACUGUCAUUCAUUAUACAACAUGAGGAUUAAAACCACUGCCACUAAAAAUGCACAAGAAUGGGUUUAAAUUACAAGAUCCACAAUAUGAUCCCAAUCCGUAGUCAAUUUGCUAAAUAAAACUUAAUAACUUCUUUGGGAAUAAAAGAAAGCCAUAAGUGAAGAUUUUCACUAUCUCCUUAGGCCAGCCCUGACCAGGGUAGAGAAACUAGAAUAUAUCAGAUUAUAUGUAUUCUAGAUUAUCAUGUACCAGAUUAGUGAGCCACCCCCUUUUCACCAUUUAAAUUUCCUAACUACAAAUUACAAAUUUAGAACUUCUAAGAAAAAAAAUUGAUUUCUGAUGUUAAUAUUUACAUAGUGUGUUCCUAUUUCAUUAUACAAUCUGAUAACACGGUGUUGUGGUAUGCUGAGAACAGCCUUGGUUUUUAGGGGUGUUUAGUCAUUCUUUAAGACAGUGUUCUUAGAUAGCUGAUUCAGUUAAGUCUUGCUCUCCAGACACAGGACCAGCCUGGUUUCUACCAAAAAAGGCCUUUGCUCUAUGAGUUUCAAAAAUUAUUACUUCUUCCUAGCAUUAAGCCCACUGAUUUUAGCCAGCCAUGCCCUAUGCAAUUAGAACAUAUCCAGGCAUCAGAGAAUUAUCAAGUAUAAACCCCCUCUCCCUCAUUUGUUGAUCAUAUAAUGAGCUCACUAUGGAUCUCCGUAUUCCCCUUUCUGAUACAUCCUUAUUAUCUCUGAACCAUAUAGACUUGGAAGUUCUUACAUAGCUUGAGUUAACACAAUCAAUUAAUCCCAUCUCUUCUAAGAGUAAGGUCUACAGAGACAUAAAACAAGCACUAGGGAAAUAUCGACAAAACCAUCAAUGACACCUUCAGGAAUGCAUACUAUAAAAACAGAAGUGUCACCGAGCAUAGUCAUAUGUUACUCCCAAAAUAAAAUUACUUUGUUGAUAAGCAACAUCUCAGUUCUGUUGGUAGAUUUUCAAUGGUUCUUAUUUCUAAAACAUUUCUUAAAAAUUUCAGACCCUUAAAAUCAGAAUUUCCCAAAUUAUAGAGGAAAGGAACUCUCAAAAGAAAUAAAGGUGAGAGGUUGAAGUUCCAGAUGAGUUGCUCCAAAAAGCAGAGGAAAACUUCUGCCAAUUAGAUUGUUGAAGGUUUGGACAAUAAGGGGAAAGAUGAAGGGAAACAAAGAAAAGUAGCAGGAAGGAGCCUAAUCUGAGAUGGUGGCAAAAAGGCUUCUGGACACAAGGCAAUUCACAAAGGUCAGGAAGCUGGCAGAAGUACUGGAGGAAGGAGGUGUGGUAAAGUAACUGGGAUCAUAUCCAAGGAUCACAGUAAGAACAGUCCAGGAGCUACAUGAGAGAAGCCGUCACUCCUCUAGGGAAGACAGUAAAAUGCUGGGGAAAGCAGGAAUUAUAAAGAAAAAUCUGUGAUGAAAAAAAUCUUCACCACCCACCAAAAGCUACCCAUGAAAAGAGGUUUGAGACAAGCUAAAAAUCACAAAUUUAGAAAUGGAAGAGACUUCAUCAGAAUAAAUGCUCUUAACUUACAGUUAAGAAAACAAUCAAAUAGGUGAAGGAAUUAGUUCAAAGUCAUGCAGAUGCCCCAGAAUCCCUUUUCCCUAUAAGUAGGCUUUAAUACAACAGGGAAAAUAGCAUUGCAUGAUAGCACUAUGCAGGGGUAAGCUGGUUUUCAAAUUUCUUUCCCUCAGUGUCUUUACAGUCGAUCAUGAGGUACUGGUGGCUUUAGCCUUCUCAGACACAUUCAUGGAGGGUUAACUGCUCUGUUGAAAUUCAGAGUCUGCUGAAACAGUUUUUCAGAAAACUAAGCAGUCUCAGCUUUGCUUUAAGUCAGAUUCAACUACAGAAAAAGGGAAGGCCAAGUAUGAGGAAAUCGUAACUUGCCAUGAUGUGUUCCAUUGGAUUUAUCCUUCCCUAAUGGCAGGGGGAAAAAACGAUCCAGUCUCCUGGCCUCAAUUAUCUAAGUGGAAAAUUCCAAAAUUUUUCUUCACCCCCUAAAGUAGUACUAACAAGCACCUCAAGUUCAAAACCUGAAACAAUUCAUUACUAUCACCCGGACUGAGGGAUGCCCUCUAAACUGAUGAGUUAUCUGCUAUAGGAUUGGGCACUACGGUCUUCUAUGACUCCUUUUUCCUUCACCAGAUUUCCCUUCUUUCAAGUCUUCCAUGAUUAUCACCCAAGCAGAGAUUCUACCUUUUCAAGUAACCAGUACUGGGAAAACUCAAAGACUCGAGAGAAGCUUAAAGGAGGACAAUGUGAAAGAUAAUCAUGAGGAACUCAAUGAAAUUAAACUGCUAUAAGGAGUUCAUGACUGGGAAGCUUUUGGCCACCAAAAACCAUCUUUAAAUGACUGUGGAGUCCUGCUUCAAUUGAAGAUUGGCCCUGGAGACUGAUGCCCAGGGUAAUAAGAUGAGUCAUCUGCAAAAGAUUUUAUUUUUUUUGCGGUCAAACGUUUUACAUAAAUGUGAGGGCUGGAAAGCAAGAAGACAUCUGUGUAUUCAGAGGCUGAAAUGAAAACCGAGUCCAACAUCCACGUCAAGUAAAUAUUUCCAUUGCUGAUAUUCAGUGAAAUGCAGCACACAGCUGUUUCACUUAGAAGAAAAGACUCACUUAAAAAAACAAAACUAUUUAUUUGGAUUUUUGUUUUCAUUAAAGCUUUACAUCUGAGCUUGACAGACUUAAUCAUAAAACUUGUAUUUAGUCGAGUUAAUUUACUCCCUAUUAUUAUUUCUCUAACUGCCUUCCUCCAAACCCUACUUCUUGCCCACAACUGGCUCCACAGCAAGCCUGUCUAUGCACAAGCGGGCUCUCUGCUCCAGGGCAGCCUCUCUCCUUCCCCUCUGACUCCUUCCCACAGCAUACAGCAGGAUUGCUGACUGACAGGGCACACUAUGAGCUGUUACCCCCACUCCCCAUCCCCUAAAUGCUGGAUGCCUUGUGAGAAGAGGUCCUGCUAGCAGGAGGCGAGUGGCCAACUUCCAAGACUUAGUCAUGAUAACCUCCUGUGAGCGAGGGCCGUGGGAUGCAUGAAAGACAUGACAGUGGAGUUGCUGAAAGAGUCAGAAGGGGGGUCCAAGUUAUAAAAUAUAAAUAUAGGGCCUGCAUUAGAGGUUUAAAUUUGGGGCUAUGAAAGGUAGAGGAAAUAGAGGACGAUAGCUUGAAGAGAUGGAGUUUAAAUAAGUUUUUCCAAAAGACAAGAAAAUCCUAGGUACAUCUGUGGGUAGCAAGAAAUAAGUCAGGAGAUAAAGACUGAAUGAGAGAAAGAAAUGGAGAUCACCAAGGAUCUCAUGAGCUCCUGGGUAGGGAUCUAGCAUCUUAUGCUGAGCUCUGGACACACACUUUUAGCCACCUAAUGGACAUUUCAAACUGGACCCACACACAUCUAAGACUCAUCUUGCCCAAAACAGAAUUCAGUUGUUUUCCAUUAAAAAACCUACCCCACCCCAAAUUCCCUGGUUUAUGCCAAGGGCACCAUCUCUUAACAUAAGCAUUGCCCGGGUUGACAACUUCCAUGUUAUCCUUAACUUUUCACUCUCCUUCCCCUCCCAAUAUUUAGUUAAUUGCUGAAUCCUGUCAUUUCUACCCCCACAAAAUUGCUCCCAUUCAUUCCCUUAUCUCUGACUAAUCCUAAAUCCAAGCCCUUUCCUCGACUAUUUCAAAUAACUUUCUCCUUAGUCUUUCUAUGCACAGCUGCUAAAGUAACAGAUAGAUGGAAGGAAGGAAGAAAGGGAGAGAGAAAGGAGGGAGGGAAGGAGGCAGCGAAGAAGAUGAACUUAUUAAAGAUUUAUUGUGUUAAGGCUUCUACAAACAUUAAUUUAAUCAUCAUCUCCAUUUUCCCUUUGAGGAAACAGAAACUGGUUCACCCUGGGUCACAGAGCUAGUCUCACACUAGACUGAACUCAGAUCUUUCUAAUUCUGAGGCCUGUGCUCUACCCAUUAUGUGACCUGUUUGUUUGUUUUUUUGAGGGGGGAGAAUAAAUGUUGAGGACCUUCUGAAGUAAAGAAUGAUCCCCAUCACUCCAAACAGAAAGCACGCCACGACAGCCUCUAUUAUAUCAAUAAAGAAGAGGCCAGGUCUUCAGCUACAAAGGAGAUGGUGUUACAGGUACAGAAAAAAGGACUGGAAUGGCCAGUGUAAUAUGGUCUCUGCCACAGAAGAAUACCAGUUUUAUUGGUUCUCUCUCCAAAGCAACUGGUUACACCUGGCAGCCUCAAUAGCAUUAGUCUUCCAUUUUCUCAAUCUCCUAUAAUUAGGGAGAGAGAGAACUUAGUGAUAAAAAUGUGCAUGUAAAGUUGCCAUGCUGACGAGCCUCUACUAAACAGUUGAAAAAAGGCAGUGGAAAAAGCUCAGAAUUUAUUAUCAAGGUCACAGUUUUAACCAGAUUUAUGGAAGAGAUUCAUCAAGGCCAGUUCUCCUUGGAUGUUGUUUAUACCCCAAAAUUCAAACUGCCUAGCCAAACACAAACAGAUACACAGGACAUAAGGAGGAGAAAUGGACGAUUAAACAUGUUCUAGGAGAGACUUAAGGGAGUACUUGUUUCUCCAAAGUAUUUGCUCAUACUGUGAGAACAAUACAGCCACAGGACUCCAAUUGCACAUAAUUUAAGAACAAAUGCAAAGCAGUCAAAUCUAGAGAAUAAAAUGUACAAGGGAAAUAUUAAAUGCCUUCACCUAUUCCCCAAGAGAAUGCAUUUUUGUUUACUAGCAAAAAUCCCUAGAAUGCUGAGCAAUGAAGAAAGGAUGAAAUAUGGAGCUCAAGCUACAUACUAGUAUUAAAAAGGAGGCAAGUAAUGGCCAGAGCUAAUCCAUUCCAAGAACCAUUCCUACGGUAGAAAGGAUAGUAGACUCAGAAUCUGGGGAAAACUUUGCAUUUAAAAAAAUAGAGAGAGGGGCAGCUAGGUGGCGCAGUGAAUAAAGCACCAGCCCUAAAGUCAGGAGGACCUGAGUUCAAAUCUAAACUCAGAUACUAAACACUUCCUAGCUAUAUGACCCUGGGCAAGUCACUUAACCCCAAUUUCGAGAGAGAAACAGAGACAGAGACAGAGAGAGAGAGAGCGCGAGCAUGUAGAUUUAUAAGAGGUUUUUAAAAGGAUAAAAUUAGAGAAUAAAAGUAAAGCACUAUAUAUAAAUGCAAAAGUAUCACUCUCUAAGGUAUCAUCAAAGAUUGGGAAUCAAUAUUCUAGUCAAAUUCAUGUCAAAUUCAUUCAUGCUCAUAAAAGAAAGCAUUCCAUUUAACGGUGAUAGACCUCUCUUUCUUUCUUUCUCUCUCUCUCUUUCUCUCUCUCUCUCUCAUUCUCCCCCCCUACAUUCAUUAUGCCUACCAUCCCUCCCCUCGUAAGGAUGCGUGUGUUAUAUCAUUUAGAAAGAAAUAUACAUUUUGUAAUAAGUUUACCUCCUACUAAACAAACUCAGGAAAUUAGAAAGCUGUUUAUUAUAGUCUAUACAUGGGUAAAAAAGUCAUAUACCUUAGUGAUUUUUCAGAUAGAUAUAGGUAUGUGUUUUAAAGAGGAAACUAUAAGCUAUAGUUGGAAUAAACUCCUUUCUGCUAAA
Molecule: long non-coding RNA, 5789 nt
Organism: Antechinus flavipes (yellow-footed antechinus)
Lineage: Eukaryota; Metazoa; Chordata; Mammalia; Dasyuromorphia; Dasyuridae
Exons: 2
Source: RefSeq, a predicted model, not a curated record